AAGUCUGGGAAUGCAAAUUUCGGAACAAAUCAAUUUCAUUUUUCUGAAAAGCUGCAUUGUAAUUCCAUCUACAGCUAUAUCUCUGCCCAGCUAUUCUCAGAAAAUCUGGGAUUUGAUCGGCGUCAUGGGCUGGCUGCUUAUGUUGUGGUUUAAAUUGUCCAUGUUUUUUCAACUUUUGGUUGAUGAGGUGAAGGUUCCAUAUUCGGGGCUAGCAUUC
Molecule: unclassified non-coding RNA, 217 nt
Filed under: Hevea brasiliensis (rubber tree)
Lineage: Eukaryota; Viridiplantae; Streptophyta; Magnoliopsida; Malpighiales; Euphorbiaceae
Source: RNAcentral